UUUCAGAGUCAGCCAGGCUCAGUCACGCCCCUUGCCGUAUAUCAUUCUUUGACGUAAUUCAUUCUCACCCAAAGAGGUCUAUAAUUAUUGAUCCACACAAUAGACAGCAGCCACACGGGGAUAAUCCUGUAUAGGAACUGAGAUAUUCAUAUGAUUAUAGCCUGACUAAUAUUCGUGGUGUACCGCAGAUCUGCAGAGUAAACCCAUGGUAUAGUCAGUUUCAUUUGAGUUGCCACAUCAAUGUUUGCAUCACUAAACGUCAUUCCUAGCCACACCCAAAAUGGUGGCAGAGUGCAAGCAAACUCUUUCAUUGAGCAUUUCUUCACCUCUAAGACCUUUUAUUGUCUAUUUUAUCCUUGCUUUGGAUACUACUACCUUUCAUUAUCACUGGCUAGACCUUUUUUCUGUUAUAAAGCUGACAAAGACCUCCAAUACGGAAGAUAACAACCUAGGUUUAGUCUGGCUGGUCCAGACCCUCAGCUAGACAUGGGGAGUGGGAACAUUUAUUGCAUGGACAUGAUAAGUGAUAGGUGCGUGGGUGGUCAACAUUAUAAGAGUUGAGAAAAUGAUUCCAUAGAAACUUUUUCACCUUCAUACAGUUUGUAGUGGGAGAGAGACUUUUAUAGCCUUAUUAACCGCGUGCUUCUGCUGCUCUUUUUCCUCCUCUUCAAAACAAGUCUUUCGGGAAGUUUUUGAUUGUUGGACAUGCUUCUUAUACUGUUAUUUAUUAUGUGGCUUAGAGAAGCAAGACCUAACUUGAACUUGAUAGCGGCAGCUCCUCUUCCUCGUCAGAGUAGGCCACUGCAAGAGUCAGCUAGUGGAGCAGGUCGAGCCGCAGCCAUCAUUGCUGGUGAUAGAAUCUGGUAUAAGAAUGAUGAAGACGAUCAUGGCUUCAGUUUAAUGGAACCUGUGCACGAAGUGGAAACAAGUUACUUUUACAGAAAAGAAGAAUUGGUUGUAUGAUGUCAUUGCAAAGUACCCAAAACUGUGUUGUGUGAUUCUAUUAGUCCCUUAUUGUAUCAAUCCGAUUUCUUUCAUAGCAUAUUGUAUAUUUUACUCUGUAUUGUUUAUUUUGUUCGUAAUUUUUGUUGUCUUACUCAGUGAAUUUCAGUGAGGCACAGGGCACAACACUA
Molecule: long non-coding RNA, 1133 nt
Organism: Amphimedon queenslandica
Lineage: Eukaryota; Metazoa; Porifera; Demospongiae; Haplosclerida; Niphatidae
Exons: 2
Source: RefSeq, a predicted model, not a curated record